Molecule: long non-coding RNA, 78 nt
Organism: Cucurbita maxima (winter squash)
Lineage: Eukaryota; Viridiplantae; Streptophyta; Magnoliopsida; Cucurbitales; Cucurbitaceae
Exons: 3
Source: RefSeq, a predicted model, not a curated record
CUUUUGAAAUUAGGGGAUCGAGGAGAAGGGACUGAACGUCGAAUGAAGCUUGGGUUGACGGGGGCGCUAUCAAGGUAG